GAACUGUGAUGAGUCUUAUCCCGAACCUGACCUGGUCUGAUGACAAAAAUAUGGAUCUGACUGCUGAGUU
This 70-nucleotide small nucleolar RNA is filed under the name Lepisosteus oculatus (spotted gar). RNAcentral describes it as "Small nucleolar RNA SNORD50". It matches the Rfam family "Small nucleolar RNA SNORD50". From Rfam's summary of the family: U50 belongs to the C/D class of snoRNA which contain the C (UGAUGA) and D (CUGA) box motifs. Most of the members of the box C/D family function in directing site-specific 2'-O-methylation of substrate RNAs. The record is from Rfam by way of RNAcentral. Lineage: Eukaryota; Metazoa; Chordata; Actinopteri; Semionotiformes; Lepisosteidae.